Molecule: unclassified non-coding RNA, 2736 nt
Filed under: Onthophagus taurus
Lineage: Eukaryota; Metazoa; Arthropoda; Insecta; Coleoptera; Scarabaeidae
Description: e3 ubiquitin-protein ligase ZNRF1, transcript variant X1
Source: RNAcentral
UAUAAAUAUUUAUAGUACUUACUGUUAUUUAAUAGUCGAUCACAACAACAUAAUAAUUUUUUAUAAAAAAAUAAGCAAUAUCGUGCGCAUGUGGUCGUAGUUUGGCUUAUUGAUUUUGAAUUCGCGCCUGCGACCAGUUUAGUUUCAUCGUCGGCAAUUGGUGGCAGCACGGUGCUCGUUCGGUGCUCGGAUCCAGUCGUCCUCUGACAUCUGUUGAUGUUGUUAUCAAUCCGAUUGAAAAUGCCUUUAAAUCCUUCAAAAAUGUUGACGGGGAAUCUCCGCGGGGCUCCGUUUCGAAUCAAUUCCGACCAGUCGAGGUAAAAGACGGCCGCCGUCGUACUUGGACGAUAAUCGCGCGCGCGUGUGUGUGAUCAUGUCGAUGAAAAAUUUAAUCAACAACUAUAAUUCCUCGCCGUUACCAGUUCCCCUGUCGUGGUGGUGAUUUUAGGGGAUAUGGGCGCGAAACCGAGUAGUGCUAACGGGACCCAAAGCCCACGGACUCGGGCCUUCUCAACGAGUAGCAGCUCGGAGGUGGUGGCGGCGGCCCCGGCGGGCUUCCGUCUACUCCGCUCGUUGCCGGGGAUGGACGUUUCGAACGAUAGGCAACGGGCCAGGUCCCUUUCGAGCGUUCCUGACCUUCACGGGAGUCGCGAAGCGAUUGCCAUACCAGCUACGGGGGCCUCUUUUGAUGCUUCGAAUGGUGCAAGCCCCGAAACAGAUAGUAGUUCCACCGAAGAGGCUGAAGCUAAUUUAAACUCGAACGCCGCCGGUAUUGCCCUUGGAAGGGUUUAUGCUGCACAUUCGUUACCCUCACACAUUUGGUCCUUAAAUGGAAUUAAAUGCCCUAUGUGCAGCAAAUUUGUCAUUCCUGACGAUGAUAUUGAGUGCCAUCUGGUUAUGUGCCUAACGAAACCACGACUUUCCUACAACGAAGACAUUUUGACUGAUGAUAAAGGCGAAUGUGUGAUUUGCUUAGAAGAAUUAAGUCAAGGCGAUGUGAUAGCUCGAUUACCAUGUUUAUGUAUAUACCAUAAAGGAUGUAUAGAUCAAUGGUUCGAAAUAAACCGUUCGUGUCCCGAACAUCCAGGCGACUAGCAUAGUUUAAAAUCGACGUCGUUGAAGAAGCAGCCGCCGCCGCCGCCCGCAAUUGACUCCUCCGCCUCCUCCUUCAGUGGUUGUGGUUCGAAAUGGGGCCGCUAAAAUCGGAAUCUUUGUGGAUAAUUUAUGCGAUAAAGCCCCAAAAUUCUACAAUCACAUCUCGCACGUAAACUGUUACACCCAAUAUUGUUAAUUUAAAAAAAGAAAAGAAAAUGAAGAGGAUUAUUAAACAAAAACAACUGUAAAUUUACAUAUCAUAUUUUCAUUCAAAUUGAUAAACUCACACUCUUUUCGCGUAUUAAAGAAUUAAAGAAGAUUGAAAUAAAGAAUUUCAAGAUAAAUGUAAAAUAGUAACGUAAAAUAUAAAUGUGUGUAGCGGAUAUUUAAAGAAAAAAUUAAUAAUUAUAAACUAAAGUAAUAAAUUUUCUUUGGGAGACUAGGAUUUUUGGACCAAAAUACUAAUUCUACGUUGUAGUGUCCAAAAAAAAAGAAUAAUAAUAACAAACAUCAUCUGAAAGGAAAAAUUAUGAAUGAUUUAAAAACGCUUCGUUUGAAACCUAGUUUUCUCCAAAAUGAUUUCAUCGAAAAAACGAAAAGAAAUAAAUUAAAAGAAAUAAAUAGAAACGUAAGUUUGGAGUAGACAGUUUCCGUGAGAAAGAGAUAUUUUUGAUACUUUCAUAUGGUAAGGCGAGCUUUCGAUGUGUUUCCGUUCUCGUAAUAAAAAAAAAAGAAAAAUAAAUAAAUAGGACUUAGUCAAUUAAUGGUAUAAAAAGCGCUAACCCUUCGUUUCCACCCGCAACUAAACCGUUUUAUUUUAUUUUUAUUUUAUUUUAUUAUUUUUUUUGUAUAAUUUUACGUUAUAUUGUGUGAUUAUUAAAUAAAAAAUAUGCAAAGCGAAUUAAUUCUUUAAGAAAAAAAAUGAAAAAUUUUGCAUGUUUUGUUAUUAAGCCCUUCGUUUAAGUUGUUGUAAAAACCCCGAGAAGAAUUUAAUCGCACGUUUCUAACAGAAUGUAAAUUAAAAGCUAAAUUUGUUUAAAACUCUUUUUAAUAAAGCAAAUUAUAGACGCAAAGCAUAAAUAAUAAAGAACCGAUUUGGAAAUGUGCACAAAACUACUACCUACUACUACCUAUUACUAUUAAAUGUAAAAAAGAAAUAAAUAGUUUAAAACCAAAGACCUUAGUGAGUAAAAAGAAAUAAAACAAGUUGGUUUGGAAUUUUUUAUUAAAAGUGAGACGACAAAGCGACGCCGACGUGCUGAUAAAAUAAAAUGAUUAAAUAAAAGAAAUGAACUCGUUAACUAUUAAGGUGCUAACUGUGGUUUAAUUAGUGAUAAUUCUUUUGUAAAAUAACCUGUUACCUGUUGAGAAUUAAAACAAUUUUUUUUUAUUUUUAAUUUUUCUAAUCUAAGUUAUUUUCUUCAAUUCAAGCGAGAUGCGAUCGCGGUGUUUUCUUGUUCUCGAUAAAUUGUUUUGAUUCUAUUUGAUGAUAUAUUAUAAUAAUUAUUAUUGUUUUUAUACAGCCCUUAGACGUAGCAGAAAAACUAACUUUUUUUUUAUUAUUAUUUUAGAAAUUGUUAUGUAUAUGCGAUAAUACACUGUAACGUUUUAGUAAAUUAAUAAAAAAAAUACAUUUGAGAA